GAUGAAGAACGUAGCGAAAUGCGAUACUUGGUGUGAAUUGCAGAAUCCCGUGAACCAUCGAGUCUUUGAACGCAAGUUGCGCCCGAAGCCAUUAGGCCGAGGGCACGCCUGCCUGGGCGUCACACGUCGUUGCCCCCCCAUCUACUCCUUCGGGAUUGCGGGGGGCGGAUGAUGGCCUCCCGUGCGCCUCGUCGCGCGGUUGGCCUAAAUGCCAAGUCCUCGGCGACGCACGCCACGACAAUCGGUGGUUGCGAAACCUCGGUUGCCUGUCGUGUGCGGUCGUCGCGCAUCGAGGGCUCGAAAAAAUUGCCGGGCUUCGGCUCGACUUUCAACGCGACCCCAGGUCAGGCGGGGUUACCCGCUGAAUUUAAGCAUAUCAAUAAGCGGAGGA
RNAcentral lists this unclassified non-coding RNA (391 nucleotides) under soil metagenome. RNAcentral describes it as "partial contains 5.8S ribosomal RNA, internal transcribed spacer 2, and large subunit ribosomal RNA". The stretch from base 1 to 122 matches the Rfam family "5.8S ribosomal RNA", at positions 35 to 154 of the family's 154-position model. The record is from RNAcentral.